RNAcentral lists this ribosomal RNA (1400 nucleotides) under metagenome. RNAcentral's name for it is "SSU rRNA". It matches the Rfam family "Eukaryotic small subunit ribosomal RNA", at positions 15 to 1451 of the family's 1831-position model. The record is from RNAcentral.
UGCCAGUAGUCAUAUGCUUGUCUCAAAGAUUAAGCCAUGCAUGUCUAAGUAUAAGCAAUCAUACUGUGAAACUGCGAAUGGCUCAUUAAAUCAGUUAUCGUUUAUUAGAUAGUACCUUUACCUGGAUAACCGUGGUAAUUCUAGAGCUAAUACAUGCUAAAAACCCCGACUUCGGAAGGGGUGUAUUUAUUAGAUAAAAAACCAAUGCCCUCUGGGCUCUUUGGUGAUUCAUAAUAACUUAACGAAUCGCAUGGCCUUGCGCCGGCGAUGGUUCAUUCAAAUUUCUGCCCUAUCAACUUUCGAUUGUAAGAUAGAGGCUUACAAUGGUAUUAACGGGUAACGGGGAAUUAGGGUUCUAUUCCGGAGAGGGAGCCUGAGAAACGGCUACCACAUCCAAGGAAGGCAGCAGGCGCGCAAAUUACCCAAUGCUAAUUCAGCGAGGUAGUGACAAUAAAUACUGAUACGGGGCUCUUUCGGGUCUCGUAAUUGGAAUGAGUACAAUCUAAAUCCCUUAACGAGGAACAAUUGGAGGGCAAGUCUGGUGCCAGCAGCCGCGGUAAUUCCAGCUCCAAUAGCGUAUAUUAAAGUUGUUGCCGUUAAAAAGCUCGUAGUUGAACCUUGGACCUGGCUGAUCUGUCCUCCUAAUCGAGCGCACGGAUUCGGUCGGGUCUUUCCUUCUGGGGAGCCCUAUGCCCUUCACUGGGUGUAGUGGGGAACCAGGACUUUUACCUUGAAAAAAUUAGAGUGUUCAAAGCAGGCCUUUGCUCGAAUACAUUAGCAUGGAAUAAUAGAAUAGGACAUCGGUUCUAUUUUGUUGGUUUCUAGGACCGCUGUAAUGAUUAAUAGGGAUAGUCGGGGGCGUCAGUAUUCAAUUGUCAGAGGUGAAAUUCUUGGAUUUAUUGAAGACUAACUACUGCGAAAGCAUUCGCCAAGGAUGUUUUCAUUAAUCAGUGAACGAAAGUUAGGGGAUCGAAGACGAUCAGAUACCGUCGUAGUCUUAACCAUAAACUAUGCCGACUAGGGAUCGGACGGUGGUUUUUUUAUGCCCCGUUCGGCACCUUACGAGAAAUCAAAGUUUUUGGGCUCGGGGGGGAGCAUGGUCGCAAGGCUGAAACUUAAAGAAAUUGACGGAAGGGCACCACCAGGCGUGGAGCCUGCGGCUUAAUUUGACCCAACACGGGGAAACUCACCAGGUCCAGACAUGCUUAGGAUUGACAGAUUGAUAGCUCUUUCUUGAUUGUAUGGGUGGUGGUGCAUGGCCGUUCUUAGUUGGUGGAGUGAUUUGUCUGCUUAAUUGCGAUAACGAACGAGACCUUGACCUGCUAAAUAGCCAGGUUGACUUUUGUCGGCCGCCGGCUUCUUAGAGGGAUUUUUGGCUCAAGCCAAUGGAGGUACGAGGC